UUAAACCGGUCGCUUCUAUCAAAUCUUCCGCACGGCGACGCCCGCCUCCGCCAAAUCUCAACCACCGGCAUACCCGCUCCUGCGCCGCCCUGACGACAGAACCCAAUGACCGCUGGCGUCAUCCCCGAGUCCUGCACCACCGCCCUCGUCGCUCAAUCGCCGCCCCGGCAGAGCACUCCAUUGCUUCUCCCCGGCCUUCGCGCCGCUCCCCUUCUCUCUCCCGCGCCGCUUCCCUUCCCCGUUCC
This 245-nucleotide long non-coding RNA is filed under the name Setaria viridis. RNAcentral's name for it is "long non-coding RNA (SVIR_LNC010280)". The record is from RNAcentral. Lineage: Eukaryota; Viridiplantae; Streptophyta; Magnoliopsida; Poales; Poaceae.